This is a non-coding RNA of Trachemys scripta elegans, 577 nucleotides long. The record is from the annotation of a RefSeq genome assembly. NCBI's taxonomy places the organism in Eukaryota, Metazoa, Chordata, Testudines, Emydidae.
ACCCGGAGCUGCUGCUCCGGGUACCAAAGAGGCUCCUAGUUCAGGAGGCGGAGCUGGUAAAUUUGCCCCAGAGGGAGAAGUAAAUCUACCGUGAGGGGAGUGAACCUUUUGUACUGAACAGGGAACACCCAGCUAGACAGCUCCUUCGCUGAGGGACAAUGGGGAGACCCUGGCAGCUGUUCCCACGCCUGCUGCUACUGGUGGUGAACAUUCCCUGGGGGAGCUGCCAGGCCGAGGUGCACCAGAACCUGUCUGCGGUCACUUGGGAAGGGCAGAACGGCAGCAUCUCUUGCCACUACACGACGAGCAAUUUCGGGGGUUUGCAGUGGUUCAGGCAGCUUCCCGGAGGCCAGCCUGUCUCCCUGCUGAUUCUGGUGUCCGAUGGGAAACAAACCAAGGAGCCCAACCUCACCGCGGAGCUGGACAAGGGGAAGCGGCUGAGCUCGCUGCACAUCCGAGAAUCACAGCUGGGAGACGCAGCCACCUACUUCUGCGCCGUGGCGACACGGUGACACAGGAGCACUGGCAGCCUGUGCAAAAACUCCCCAGCUGGAGGGUAACUGUCAGGCUGGCUGGC